This 253-nucleotide ribosomal RNA is filed under the name uncultured bacterium. RNAcentral describes it as "partial 16S ribosomal RNA". It matches the Rfam family "Bacterial small subunit ribosomal RNA", at positions 524 to 776 of the family's 1533-position model. The record is from RNAcentral.
UACGUAGGGUGCAAGCGUUAAUCGGAAUUACUGGGCGUAAAGCGUGCGCAGGCGGUUUUGUAAGCCAGAUGUGAAAUCCCCGGGCUUAACCUGGGAACUGCAUUUGGGACUGCAAGGCUUGAGUACGGCAGAGGGGGGUAGAAUUCCUGGUGUAGCAGUGAAAUGCGUAGAUAUCAGGAGGAAUACCGAUGGCGAAGGCAGCCCCCUGGGUCGAUACUGACGCUCAUGCACGAAAGCGUGGGGAGCAAACAGG